ACUCCUACGGGAGGCAGCAGUGGGGAAUUUUGGGCAAUGGGCGAAAGCCUGACCCAGCAACGCCGCGUGAAGGAUGAAGUAUUUCGGUAUGUAAACUUCGAAAGAAUAGGAAGAAUAAAUGACGGUACUAUUUAUAAGCUCCGGCUAACUACGUGCCAGCAGCCGCGGUAAUACGUAGGGAGCAAGCGUUGUUCGGAUUUACUGGGCGUAAAGGGCGCGUAGGCGGCGUGUCAAGUCGAUUGUGAAAUCUCCGGGCUUAACUCGGAACGGCCAAUCGAUACUGACGUGCUAGAGUGCAGAAAGGGCAAUCGGAAUUCUUGGUGUAGCGGUGAAAUGCGUAGAUAUCAAGAGGAACACCUGAGGCGAAGGCGGGUUGCUAGGCUGACACUGACGCUGAGUGCGCGAAAGCCAGGGGAGCAAACGGGAUUAGAUACCCCGGUAGUCCUGGCCCUAAACGAUGAAUACUUGGUGUCUGGAGUUUCAAUACUCCGGGUGCCGUCGCUAACGUUUUUAGUAUCCCGCCUGGGGAGUACGCUCGCAAGAGUGAAGCUCAAAGGAAUUGACGGGGACCCGCACAAGCGGUGGAGCAUGUGGUUUAAUUCGACGCAACGCGAAGAACCUUACCUGGACUAGAAUGUGAGGGAAGGGCUUCUAACAGAGUCCGUCCGGGAAACCGGACCCAAAACAAGGUGCUGCAUGGCUGUCGUCAGCUCGUGUCGUGAGAUGUUGGGUUAAGUCCCGCAACGAGCGCAACCCUUAUCAACAGUUGCCAUCAUUAAGUUGGGAACUCUGUUGAGACUGCCGUUGAUAAAACGGAGGAAGGUGGGGAUGAUGUCAAGUCAUCAUGGCCUUUAUGUUCAGGGCUACACACGUGCUCCAAUGGCCGGUACAAAACGUCGCAAUCCCGCAAGGGGGAGCCAAUCGCUAAAACCGGUCUCAGUUCGGAUUGAAGUCUGCAACUCGACUUCAUGAAGUUGGAAUCGCUAGUAA
Molecule: ribosomal RNA, 990 nt
Filed under: uncultured bacterium
Lineage: Bacteria
Description: bacterial SSU rRNA
Rfam family: Bacterial small subunit ribosomal RNA
Source: RNAcentral